Molecule: ribosomal RNA, 498 nt
Filed under: uncultured bacterium
Lineage: Bacteria
Description: partial 16S ribosomal RNA
Rfam family: Bacterial small subunit ribosomal RNA
Source: RNAcentral
AUUGAACGCUGGCGGCAUGCCUUACACAUGCAAGUCGAACGGUAACAGGUCUUCGGAUGCUGACGAGUGGCGAACGGGUGAGUAAUACAUCGGAACGUGCCUAGUAGUGGGGGAUAACUACUCGAAAGAGUGGCUAAUACCGCAUGAGAUCUACGGAUGAAAGCAGGGGAUCGCAAGACCUUGUGCUACUAGAGCGGCCGAUGGCAGAUUAGGUAGUUGGUGGGAUAAAAGCUUACCGAGCCGACGAUCUGUAGCUGGUCUGAGAGGACGAUCAGACACACUGGGACUGAGACACGGCCCAGACUCCUACGGGAGGCAGCAGUGGGGAAUUUUGGACAAUGGGCGCAAGCCUGAUCCAGCAAUGCCGCGUGCAGGAUGAAGGCCUCCGGGUUGUAAACUGCUUUUGUACGGAACGAAAAGCCCUGGGUUAAUACCCUGGGGUCAUGACGGUACCGUAAGAAUAAGCACCGGCUAACUACGUGCCAGCCGCCGCAGUAA